RNAcentral lists this ribosomal RNA (393 nucleotides) under uncultured bacterium. RNAcentral describes it as "bacterial SSU rRNA". It matches the Rfam family "Bacterial small subunit ribosomal RNA", at positions 521 to 916 of the family's 1533-position model. The record is from RNAcentral.
UAAUACAGGGGUGGCAAGCGUUGUCCGGAAUUACUGGGUGUAAAGGGUGCGUAGGCGGGUGAAUAAGUCAGUGGUAAAAUCCUACAGCUUAACUGUAGACCCACCAUUGAUACUGUUCAUCUUGAGUGCAAGAAAGAAGAUUGGAAUUCCCAGUGUAGCGGUGAAAUGCGUAGAGAUUGGGAAGAACACCAGUAGCGAAGGCGGAUCUUUGGCUUGUAACUGACGCUGAUGCACGAAAGCGCGGGGAGCAAACAGGAUUAGAUACCCUGGUAGUCCGCGCCCUAAACGAUGAGGACUAGGUGUCGGACCGCAAGGUUCGGUGCCGCAGCUAACGCAUUAAGUCCUCCACCUGGGGAAUACGGCCGCAAGGUUGAAACUCAAAUGAAUUGACGG